GGUCGCAGGUUCGAAUCCUGCACGACCCACCAAUUUCAGCAUUUAACUCAGAUGCUGAACGUGAAGGAUAACGUUGCAACAGCAACGGCCCGAAGGGCGAGGCGAAGUCGAGUCAUCCUGCACGACCCACCA
RNAcentral lists this small RNA (132 nucleotides) under Klebsiella pneumoniae. RNAcentral's name for it is "partial RtT sRNA". It matches the Rfam family "RtT RNA", at positions 34 to 130 of the family's 130-position model. Rfam says of the family: This family represents a bacterial cis-regulatory element known as RtT RNA. The exact function of RtT is unknown although it is thought that it may be involved in changing the cellular response in relation to amino acid starvation. The record is from RNAcentral. Lineage: Bacteria; Pseudomonadati; Pseudomonadota; Gammaproteobacteria; Enterobacterales; Enterobacteriaceae.